UACGGAGGGUGCAAGCGUUAUCCGGAUUCACUGGGUUUAAAGGGUGCGUAGGCGGAUAUGUAAGUCCGUGGUGAAAUCUCUGGGCUUAACCCGGAAACUGCCAUGGAUACUAUUUGUCUUGAAUACUGUGGAGGUCAGCGGAAUAUGUCAUGUAGCGGUGAAAUGCUUAGAUAUGACAUAGAACACCAAUUGCGAAGGCAGCUGGCUACACAAAUAUUGACACUGAGGCACGAAAGCGUGGGGAUCAAACAGG
This 253-nucleotide ribosomal RNA is filed under the name uncultured bacterium. RNAcentral describes it as "partial 16S ribosomal RNA". It matches the Rfam family "Bacterial small subunit ribosomal RNA", at positions 524 to 776 of the family's 1533-position model. The record is from RNAcentral.